RNAcentral lists this transfer RNA (70 nucleotides) under Dipodomys ordii (Ord's kangaroo rat). It matches the Rfam family "tRNA". From Rfam's summary of the family: Transfer RNA (tRNA) molecules are approximately 80 nucleotides in length. Lineage: Eukaryota; Metazoa; Chordata; Mammalia; Rodentia; Heteromyidae. The record is from Rfam by way of RNAcentral.
GGGAAUGUGGCUCAGUGGUGGAGUGUUUGCCUACCAUGCAUGAAGCCCAGGGUUCAAUUCCUCAGUACCA